UUACAGAGGUCUCGUUAACCGAGAUCUCUCAAACGGAAUGAGUACAACGUGAAUCCUUUAACGAGGAUCGACUGGAGGGCAAGCCUGGUGCCAGCAGCCGCGGUAAUUCCAGCUCCAGUAGCGUAUAUUAAAGCUGUUGCGGUUAAAAAGCUCGUAGUUGGAUAUCAGUGCGUUUCGGUUCGGCAUGCCCGGUGCGUUAUGGCGUCCGCGCGAUGACGCCCGGGCUCCCAAAUGUCGGCCCAGCGCAUUCAAUGGCGUCGGACACAGCAGCCGCCUUUCGGGGGGGCCAGCUGGCGACUGGCGGUGUUACCUUGAACAAAUUAGAGUGCUCAAAGCAGGCUCGCAAUGCCUGUAUACAUAUUCAUGGAAUUGGAGAAUACGUCCCUGGCUCGAUUUGGUUGGUUUUGAGAGUCGAAGGGAAAUGAUUAAUAGGGACUGACGGAGGCAUUCGUAUUGCGACGCGAGGGGUGAAAUCCUGUG
This 480-nucleotide ribosomal RNA is filed under the name Lepas sp. eL03i10_02. Its description in RNAcentral is "SSU rRNA". It matches the Rfam family "Eukaryotic small subunit ribosomal RNA", at positions 482 to 923 of the family's 1831-position model. Lineage: Eukaryota; Metazoa; Arthropoda; Thecostraca; Lepadidae. RNAcentral also lists the same sequence under 55 other names. The record is from RNAcentral.